Molecule: ribosomal RNA, 253 nt
Filed under: uncultured bacterium
Lineage: Bacteria
Description: partial 16S ribosomal RNA
Rfam family: Bacterial small subunit ribosomal RNA
Source: RNAcentral
UACGUAGGGGGCAAGCGUUGUCCGGAUUUACUGGGCGUAAAGAGCGUGUAGGCGGCCACGCAGGUCCGUUGUGAAAACUGGAGGCUCAACCUCCAGCUGUCGACGGAAACCGUAUGGCUAGAGUCCGGAAGAGGAGAGUGGAAUUCCUGGUGUAGCGGUGAAAUGCGCAGAUAUCAGGAGGAACACCGAUGGCGAAGGCAGGUCUCUGGGCCAUAACUGACGCUGAGAAGCGAAAGCAUGGGGAGCGAACAGG